CCGGCGCACGGUGAGUAACGCGUAUGCAACUUGCCUAUCAGGAGGGGAUAACCCGGCGAAAGUCGGACUAAUACCGCAUGAAGCAGGGGCCCCGCAUGGGGAUAUUUGCUAAAGAUUCAUCGCUGAUAGAUAGGCAUGCGUUCCAUUAGGCAGUUGGCGGGGUAACGGCCCACCAAACCGACGAUGGAUAGGGGUUCUGAGAGGAAGGUCCCCCACAUUGGAACUGAGACACGGUCCAA
RNAcentral lists this ribosomal RNA (239 nucleotides) under uncultured bacterium. RNAcentral describes it as "partial 16S ribosomal RNA". It matches the Rfam family "Bacterial small subunit ribosomal RNA", at positions 95 to 334 of the family's 1533-position model. The record is from RNAcentral.